AUGAGGCGUGAGGAGGGUGAGACGAGUAGUAGCAUCCCCCGGCAUCCCCGCUCGCCGGUGGUGGGGCCCCUUGAAGAUGAUGACCUUCUCUUGGAGAUCCUCCUUCGUCUGCCCCCGCAGCCGUCGUCUCUCCCUCGUGCCUCCGCCGUUUGCAGGCGCUGGCGCCUUCUCAUCUCCGAGCCAGGCUUCUCCCGCCGCUUCCGGCGCUACCACCGCGGCAACCUUCCCAUAAUUGGUUUCUACGACCGAAAUCCUCCAUACCUCUCCUUCGUACCUGCUCUGGAGGGCCCUGAUCGUAUUCCACCCGGGCGAUUGUCCUGGCAGUGUCAGCGUGAAGAAGGACCGGACUUGUCCACCUUCGGAUGUCGCGAUGGCCUCGUACUAGUCCAUGUCGAGCACCUCGAACCGCUAAAGCGCCAUGUUCUGGUGUGGGACCCUAUCACUGGUGAGCAGCACAACCCUGGGAUUCCCCCGGGGUUCGACACAGGGAAACACUUCAAUGGAGCGGUGUUUCGGUCUGCUGGAGAUGCUGACCACUUCCAGGUGGUCUUGGUAGGCAACGGCGACAAUCAACUACCGGUUGCUAGUGUUUACUCGUCGGAGACCGACGUAUGGAGUAACCUUUUUUCGACAUCGUUGCCACUGAAGUAUUAUACAGACCCUUUUCCGUCUUUUAUCGGACUAUCCCUUGAACCCGCUGUGCUGGUUAGGAAUUCCCUACACUGGCUGCUUGGAGUGGGCUCGGUUGGAAUUCUCGAGUUUGAUUUGGAGAGGCACAACCUUGUCGUGAUAGGUGUGCCGGUGCAUGUGGGUGCUGGGUGUCACAUUGGGAGCAAUGACCGAUUCUCGAUUAUACGAGCAGAAGAUGGUGGGUUGGGUUUUCUCUCUCUAUCAGACUUCAACGUCCAAUUAUGGAAGAGGAAGACAGAAUAUGAUGGUGUUGCUUCAUGGGUGAUGGAAAAAAUCAUUGAACUGGACAAACUACUGAAAAUUCCCCUGGAUCGAAAGAACCAAAGAAAAAAUACUACUAGGGUGAUGGGAUUUGCCGAGGACAACAAUACGGUGUUCAUGUGGACAAUAAUCGGCAUCAUCACGAUCCAUCUCGAGUCAUUGCAGUUCAAGACGCUUCCCGGAUCUAGGAUUUUUUCUUACUAUUAUCCAUUUGAAAGUGUCUGGUGCAUGUAA
Molecule: ribosomal RNA, 1185 nt
Filed under: Triticum aestivum (bread wheat)
Lineage: Eukaryota; Viridiplantae; Streptophyta; Magnoliopsida; Poales; Poaceae
Description: partial small subunit ribosomal RNA
Source: RNAcentral